This 431-nucleotide ribosomal RNA is filed under the name Streptococcus cristatus. RNAcentral describes it as "bacterial SSU rRNA". It matches the Rfam family "Bacterial small subunit ribosomal RNA", at positions 28 to 451 of the family's 1533-position model. The record is from RNAcentral. Lineage: Bacteria; Bacillati; Bacillota; Bacilli; Lactobacillales; Streptococcaceae.
GACGAACGCUGGCGGCGUGCCUAAUACAUGCAAGUAGAACGCUGAAGGGAGAGCUUGCUCUUCUGGAUGAGUUGCGAACGGGUGAGUAACGCGUAGGUAACCUGCCUGGUAGCGGGGGAUAACUAUUGGAAACGAUAGCUAAUACCGCAUAACAUUGACUAUUGCAUGAUAGUCAAUUAAAAGGUGCAAAUGCACCACUACCAGAUGGACCUGCGUUGUAUUAGCUAGUUGGUGGGGUAACGGCUCACCAAGGCGACGAUACAUAGCCGACCUGAGAGGGUGAUCGGCCACACUGGGACUGAGACACGGCCCAGACUCCUACGGGAGGCAGCAGUAGGGAAUCUUCGGCAAUGGACGGAAGUCUGACCGAGCAACGCCGCGUGAGUGAAGAAGGUUUUCGGAUCGUAAAGCUCUGUUGUAAGAGAAGAACG